RNAcentral lists this ribosomal RNA (253 nucleotides) under uncultured bacterium. RNAcentral describes it as "partial 16S ribosomal RNA". It matches the Rfam family "Bacterial small subunit ribosomal RNA", at positions 524 to 776 of the family's 1533-position model. The record is from RNAcentral.
UACGAAGGGGGCUAGCGUUGUUCGGAAUCACUGGGCGUAAAGGGUGCGUAGGCGGCCGCGCAAGUCGGAUGUGAAAUCUCAGGGCUCAACCCUGAAACUGCAUUCGAUACUGCGUGGCUAGAGUGCUGGAGAGGAGACUGGAAUUUACGGUGUAGCAGUGAAAUGCGUAGAUAUCGUAAGGAAGACCAAUGGCGAAGGCGAGUCUCUGGACAGGAACUGACGCUGAGGCACGAAGGCCAGGGGAGCAAACGGG